AGUGAACGCUGGCGGUAGGCCUAACACAUGCAAGUCGAACGGCAGCACAGUAAGAGCUUGCUCUUACGGGUGGCGAGUGGCGGACGGGUGAGGAAUACAUCGGAAUCUACUUUUUCGUGGGGGAUAACGUAGGGAAACUUACGCUAAUACCGCAUACGACCUACGGGUGAAAGCAGGGGAUCUUCGGACCUUGCGCGAUUGAAUGAGCCGAUGUCGGAUUAGCUAGUUGGCGGGGUAAAUGCCCACCAAGGCGACGAUCCGUAGCUGGUCUGAGAGGAUGAUCAGCCACACUGGAGCUGAGACACGGUCCAGACUCCUACGGGAGGCAGCAGUGGGGAAUAUUGGACAAUGGGCGCAAGCCUGAUCCAGCCAUACCGCGUGGGUGAAGAAGGCCUUCGGGUUGUAAAGCCCUUUUGUUGGGAAAGAAAAGCAGCAGGUUAAUACCCCGCUGUUCUGACGGUACCCAAAGAAUAAGCACCGGCUAACUUCGUG
This 492-nucleotide ribosomal RNA is filed under the name uncultured bacterium. RNAcentral describes it as "partial 16S ribosomal RNA". It matches the Rfam family "Bacterial small subunit ribosomal RNA", at positions 29 to 507 of the family's 1533-position model. The record is from RNAcentral.